RNAcentral lists this ribosomal RNA (440 nucleotides) under uncultured bacterium. Its description in RNAcentral is "partial 16S ribosomal RNA". It matches the Rfam family "Bacterial small subunit ribosomal RNA", at positions 338 to 795 of the family's 1533-position model. The record is from RNAcentral.
CCUACGGGAGGCAGCAGUGGGGAAUAUUGGGCAAUGGGCGCAAGCCUGACCCAGCAACGCCGCGUGAGCGAUGAAGUAUUUCGGUAUGUAAAGCUCUAUCAGCAGGGAAGAAGAUGACGGUACCUGACUAAGAAGCCCCGGCUAACUACGUGCCAGCAGCCGCGGUAAUACGUAGGGGGCAAGCGUUAUCCGGAUUUACUGGGUGUAAAGGGAGCGUAGACGGCGAUGCAAGCCAGAUGUGAAAGCCCGGGGCUCAACCCCGGGACUGCAUUUGGAACUGUGUGGCUGGAGUGUCGGAGAGGUAGGCGGAAUUCCUAGUGUAGCGGUGAAAUGCGUAGAUAUUAGGAGGAACACCAGUGGCGAAGGCGGCCUGCUGGACGAUGACUGACGUUGAGGCUCGAAAGCGUGGGGAGCAAACAGGAUUAGAUACCCCAGUAGUC